GACAGAGGGUGCAAACGUUGUUCGGAAUUACUGGGCGUAAAGCGUGUGUAGGCGGCUUGGCAAGUGGAUGGUGAAAUCCCUCGGCUUAACCGAGGAACUGCCGUCCAAACUGCUUUGCUUGAGGCCGGGAGAGGCGAGUGGAAUUCCCAGUGUAGCGGUGAAAUGCGUAGAUAUCAGGAGGAACACCUGUGGCGAAAGCGGCUCACUGGACCACAACUGACGCUGAGGCGCGAAAGCUAGGGGAGCAAACAGG
This 253-nucleotide ribosomal RNA is filed under the name uncultured bacterium. Its description in RNAcentral is "partial 16S ribosomal RNA". It matches the Rfam family "Bacterial small subunit ribosomal RNA", at positions 524 to 776 of the family's 1533-position model. The record is from RNAcentral.